RNAcentral lists this ribosomal RNA (404 nucleotides) under uncultured Actinomycetes bacterium. RNAcentral's name for it is "bacterial SSU rRNA". It matches the Rfam family "Bacterial small subunit ribosomal RNA", at positions 355 to 774 of the family's 1533-position model. Lineage: Bacteria; Bacillati; Actinomycetota; Actinomycetes. The record is from RNAcentral.
UGGGGAAUCUUGCGCAAUGGACGAAAGUCUGACGCAGCAACGCCGCGUGAGGGACGAAGGUUUUCUGAAUUGUAAACCUCUUUCGACAGGAACGAUUGUGACGGUACCUGUAGAAGAAGCACCGGCCAACUAUGUGCCAGCAGCCGCGGUGAUACAUAGGGUGCGAGCGUUAUUCGGAUUUAUUGGGCGUAAAGAGCUCGUAGGCGGUUCGACAAGUCGGGUGUUAAACCCCCAGGCUCAACCUGGGGCCGCCACCCGAAACUGUUGUGACUAGAGUUUGGUAGGGGAUCACGGAAUUCCUGGUGUAGCGGUGGAAUGCGCAGAUAUCAGGAGGAACACCAGUAGCGAAGGCGGUGAUCUGGGCCAAUACUGACGCUGAGGAGCGAAAGCGUGGGGAGCGAACA